RNAcentral lists this non-coding RNA (30 nucleotides) under Mus musculus (house mouse). RNAcentral also lists the same sequence under 1 other name. Lineage: Eukaryota; Metazoa; Chordata; Mammalia; Rodentia; Muridae. The record is from RNAcentral.
UCCCUUUCAGGAUUUGGUGGCUUCCUCUCU